This 374-nucleotide ribosomal RNA is filed under the name uncultured organism. RNAcentral's name for it is "partial 16S ribosomal RNA". It matches the Rfam family "Bacterial small subunit ribosomal RNA", at positions 527 to 896 of the family's 1533-position model. The record is from RNAcentral.
GUAGGGAGCAAACGUUGUCCGGAUUUAUUGGGCGUAAAGGGCUCGUAGGCGGUUCAACAAGUCGGUCGUGAAAACCCGGGGCUCAACCCCGGGACGCCGGUCGAAACUGUUGUGACUAGAGUUCGGUAGAGGUGAGUGGAAUUCUCGGUGUAGCGGUGGAAUGCGCAGAUAUCGAGAGGAACACCAUUAGCGAAGGCGGCUCACUGGGCCGAUACUGACGCUGAGGAGCGAAAGCGUGGGGAGCAAACAGGAUUAGAUACCCUGGUAGUCCACGCCGUAAACGAUGAACACUAGGUGUGGCGGACUGAUUCAUGUCGGCUGCGCCGUAGCUAACGCAUUAAGUGUUCCGCCUGGGGAGUACGGCCGCAAGGCUA